UCAGCCCAUCCCCAGGAGGAACCUGGUCCUUGGGGAGCCUGGGAAGGACUUCUUCCCACUGGGGAAGGGCCGUCCUUCUGGCUUGUCCGGGGAGACGGCUCCUCCCCAGACUUCUUUAAAAAACCACCCCCGGAAGAAGGCCCUGACCGCGAUGGGCCGGCCUCUGCUGAAGCCCUUACCAUCAUCCUGGCAUCCGCCAGAGGCUCAGCAGAGGCCCGACCUGUUGCCAGCGCUAUCUAUCCGAGCGCUGAGGCUCCCCAAGGCAGAGCCAGCCCCUUCCUCCUGGGGGACUCCGCCGCUCCCCUCCGGCUCUGUGGCCCAUCCACCGCCACCACGCUCCUGCCCGAAGACACGCCCUGGGGGAGAGAGACCACCACCUGCUCCUCCCCUGGGGUCGUGUCUUAUGGUGCGAGGCCUCCGCGCACGGCCUGAUCCUCCGGUGCCGGGCAGCAGCGGUGGAAGGGUCCCACCAAACACACCCUGCGCGCUGCUGGAGGGGGCCUUCCACUAGGUCUCUCCAACUCUCCCUGCCAUGGUGAAGGGGCCUGGCCAAAGAAUGAAGCCUCAUCGGCUGUGGUUGAAGUUCCGUCGCUCCCCUGGAGGAACUGGAGACGUAUCCAAGGGACUUGGACAUUGGCCUGGUCUCUCCCAAGAGACUCUCCAGCAAGAUCUCCAGUGACUCUCUGGCAGAAGACCCGACUGCUGCUGGAAGGUGGGACAGUUUAUGGGUGACCCCCGCCCACAAAGCAAUGGGACAUAUCAGACUGUGGAUCUUCCCAAGGCUCUGAGUGUUGUGAUUCUAGCAUUUCGUUCUGAGCGUCAUCAAUGGCACCGUUGGUGAAGAGAAGUCCUAAGGAACUGUGGCUCACAUCAGGACAAGAAGAAGAGGAGAGAUGUAGCACAGCCCCAGCGUCUGGAUGGUCAGCUCUGGCAAGGGGUCAAGCCUCUGCUGAGCUGAUGGCAGCUUCCAAGAUCAUCGGGGUCAGGGUCUUCUUCCUCGGGAUGGUAUUUGAAGAGGACUGGAGAGGAACCUUCUCCCUGGAAGGAUGGUCCUGCGCCUGUGGGAAGAAGCCCCACCCAGGCUUCCUAACAUGUGAUAGACCUGGAUUAAGUUAGCAGGGCAGGGCGGGGUCAGAGUUCUAAUCUUUGGACCUUGCUAUGCCUGUGGCACCCUUGCUGAACUCUCUUUGCUACUCCGCUUAGCUACUCCGCUUAGGGGCAGUUCCGUGCCCCCUUGAUCCCCUUCCCCAGCCAUGACCCAUUCAAACUUGCCUGGCUUCAAAGCCUUGUAAAUAAAUGGAGAGGACAUUUUCCUAGCUGCCAAGAUGAAGGAGAACUGGUCCAAAUGGCGAUCCAAGUUGAGGUGCUUCCUGGCAACUUGACCAAAUGCUAAUCCCGUUCUGGAAGCUUCAGAGUGAAGCUAAUCUGCUUCACUCAUCAUAACUGAUUGCCACCUGCCAUGAGAUGUGGCCGUCCCAUCGGGGUCAGGGUCUCCUUCCUCUGGAUGGAUGGCUGUUGAAGAAGCCCGGGGAGGAGCUGGCUCCCUGGACAGGCCAGGAGGACGGUCCUGCCCCACUGGGAAGAAGUCCCGCCCAGGCUCCCCGAGGUCCAGGCUCCUCCUGGGGAUGGGCUCUAAUAUCUUGGCGCGAUCCACCGCAGCCUCCAGCCUCCUUCCCAGGCAGGGAAGGGGAGACUCAUGAAGAAGGCAUGAAGAAAGGAAAGGAAAGUUAUUCCGAGUGGUUUCUCAGCUUUAUAUGCUGCCAAAAUUCACAUCUCCAGGAGGUUUACAUGAUAAAAGGAAUCUCUAGGUGGUUUGCAUAGACGCUUUGCAUUCUUACUUGGACAAAAGCAGGCCUCAGAAUUUCAGAACUGCAAAUGUUAAGUAUGUUUACCAUGAAAGAUGGUGGCGGGUGGGAGGUGGGGGGAGACACACCGCUUGUGGCUGCCCAGGACUAGCUCUUCUUGGGAAUAGCUGGGCCCUCAAGCAAAGAGGUGGGUUCCGGUGAGGCCUGCUUGGUACUGGCCCCAGGCACCAGGGCAGGCGGCAGCAGCAGCCUCUGGACCACCAUGUGGUUGCUGGAGGUGAUGUGCCAGAUCUUCUCCCAGAUCUCUCUUCCUGCGCUCCUGAUAGGAAAAAUAAGUUGUUUUUAUUGUUCAUACCUGUAUAUGCUGCCAAAAUUCACAUUGCAAGGUGGUUUACUUUUCCCCUUCGAAUUUGUUUGGAUUAAGAGCAAAUAAUAUGCAACCCUUUCUUUCAUUUGUUGUAAUUCUGGUGUAGAACUGUAUUUUCCCUCUCCCCCCACCUUGGCUAAUGCAAUAGAUUUAUGUUUUUGACUGAAGACAAAUUCUUCUAUUUGAAUUUGUGAGAAAAUAAAA
This is a long non-coding RNA of Hemicordylus capensis (graceful crag lizard), 2376 nucleotides long. RefSeq lists it as uncharacterized. The transcript is spliced from 3 exons. The record is from RefSeq and is a predicted model, not a curated record. NCBI's taxonomy places the organism in Eukaryota, Metazoa, Chordata, Lepidosauria, Squamata, Cordylidae.